GGUAGCUCAGUUGGAUAGAGUACUUGACUACGAAUCAAGGGGUCGGGGGUUCGAAUCCUCCCC
RNAcentral lists this transfer RNA (63 nucleotides) under Paracoccaceae bacterium. RNAcentral's name for it is "Rhodobacteraceae bacterium (marine metagenome) tRNA-Arg". It matches the Rfam family "tRNA", at positions 6 to 65 of the family's 71-position model. From Rfam's summary of the family: Transfer RNA (tRNA) molecules are approximately 80 nucleotides in length. Their secondary structure includes four short double-helical elements and three loops (D, anti-codon, and T loops). Further hydrogen bonds mediate the characteristic L-shaped molecular structure. tRNAs have two regions of fundamental functional importance: the anti-codon, which is responsible for specific mRNA codon recognition, and the 3' end, to which the tRNAs corresponding amino acid is attached (by aminoacyl-tRNA synthetases). tRNAs cope with the degeneracy of the genetic code in two manners: having more than one tRNA (with a specific anti-codon) for a particular amino acid; and 'wobble' base-pairing, i.e. permitting non-standard base-pairing at the 3rd anti-codon position. Lineage: Bacteria; Pseudomonadati; Pseudomonadota; Alphaproteobacteria; Rhodobacterales; Paracoccaceae. The record is from RNAcentral.